This 4115-nucleotide long non-coding RNA is filed under the name Anneissia japonica. RNAcentral's name for it is "uncharacterized LOC117111784". The record is from RNAcentral. Lineage: Eukaryota; Metazoa; Echinodermata; Crinoidea; Comatulida; Comatulidae.
AACUGCUAAUUAAGAUGUAUCACAAAUUUCAGAGCUUAGGCUCAAAACUGACAAUCAUAAAUUCAUAGUGUGAGAAACUGACUAGGGUAAAGUUAUACAACGUCCAGUUAUAUUAUAAGAUUAUCUGUAUACUCAAGUUGACCAUUAAAACUGUCAAACCAAUUUAAGGCAUUUAUCAUGUGAAGGAUAUCGAUUCCAAUGGUUAUGCAAGUUAUACCAUUAAACCUUAAUAACAUUACAUAACAUAUCAGGCAAGAGCCAAUCAGCAUUAUUUAUGUUAACCAAUUUCAUACAAGGGUAAAUUGAGUGAUAUAGACUACCAAUUUUGUUAAAUUACUGCUCGAUUUCCUCUUGGUAUUCUUUGUGUUUCUUAGACUCGUCAUAAUCUUCUGAUUCGGUUUAUAGUUUCUUUCGCUUCUUGGGGAGGAGAAGCACCUGUUCGCCCUGAGAUGUGAGUCGGCUGUCAGCUGUUCUUGGGCAAUAUCUUCCAGCAAGGAGCAUGAUCCCAGUGACUAAUUUCAGGCAGCACUGCUAGGAUGCUAGCCUAUCUCCUUCCUGGACUGGUAGUUGAGUGGGCACCUCGUCCGGUUUCUUCUCCUUCUGUUGGUUCCAGUGCUCGUGAAGGUCCACUUCAGAUUUUGAUUUGAAACUCCCACCGCAAAAUUAACGGAAGCUUCUGAGAUGUCUCUCAUUCCUGUGAUGUUGGAGUGGUGAAGCCAACGGAAAUUUGGCACAACACUUCUUGCAUUAGAACAUGGCUGUUAAAUAUCAUUGGGGACUCAGUCAUUACAAAUUGGUAAGGGUGUGGAUGCUGCCUUUUCCUCUGAGGAUAUCUGGUCACAGUUCCGUCUGGGAGGCAUUAUCGCACACCCGUUCAUCUACGGCAUGGUUGGCAGAGACCGGAGAAUCAGGUUCAUUAAAUUUUGGUACUGAGAGCUCAGGUUCAUUAAGUUUUGGUGCAGAGAGUUGGAAUUUUCAUUAAUUGCCGAUAAUAGAUCCUUCUGAGGACACAGUUGAGAAGUUGUAGAGGCGCUUUUUUAGUAUUGAAUAUUUCAGAAUUUCCGUAUUUGGUUUUCUGCACUCGAGUGGCGUCGGCUGAGGUUUGACAGUGAGCCUCGUAUGGAUUAGCUACAUCAAUGAGGUAUGCGUGACUAGCCUUCCUGUCUAUAGCGAUGAAGUCUGGACGGUAGUUUCCGGCAGGUGUAUAGAUUAAAGACUCGGCGAUAACCUUAAACAAUUAAUGCCAAAUUGUACCGUAUAUUAUCUUUCCAUGGUAUUAUACCUCCAUGCACCAACACAGGAAAUAAACUCACCAGUGUAUUCAAGUAGUAUGGAACACCGGAAUAAAUAUUGUACAGUAUGUAGGCCUACUAUCAGUAGGCUCCUGUAUGUAAAUUACAAGACAUGAUAUUAAUUUUAAAGUACAUCAAAACGCUACAAUUCAAGUUCGGUAUAUCUCGUAGGCGGUAUUCAAGUUGUUAUUAUUUAAAGCAGGGGUUCUCAACUAUAUCGCAACAGGGGCAAAAUUGUUGAUUGAAUAAAUUUUAAGGGCCAGGGCAAGGUGUACUAUUGUAACCGUGGGGUUUUAGAUGCCUUUCCCCUUGCCGGUUACUUGUUCCCAAUAGUCUAUGUGGCAGGGUGUCUCACACAGUAAAGCACAGAAACGAAGGUCCAAUCAAAGUAUAGUUUAGUUUGUGUAUUUAAUCAAGGAGUGUUCUAUAUCUACUCCACAACAAUUCUCCAAUAAUUCUAAUAAUGUUCUCCCUUCUCUCUCAUUGCUCUCUAUUUUUAAGGGAAGCUAGUCACCAUGGUAACCACCAAGGUGGGGUGAUCAUACUUGCACUAGAUUAAUGGGUGUUCUGACCCUCCUUGCUCUAGAUUGGAAUGUUAGUGGUUGGCCAUGAUGCCGUCACUUAUCAUAUUAGUUUUGUGACUUGACAUUGCUUUACGUAAGUGCAAGAGUGUAUAUUUUAUAGAUAUUUAAAUUUAAAGUACAAUUCCUUAGCAAGGUUACACAUGGUGCGUGGGGUUUGAGAGGGGGUGUUCCCCUUCCAGAAUUGGAUUUUGUUCAUAAUGUAUUAAAAGUACUUACCUUCUCCUUGGUCCAGAGACACUGCUUUGGGUUUCCAAAGCAAACAUCAGCGGGCCACUGUUCUUGUUUAUUUUCAGGAUCAGACCACUUAAUAUAGCCGCCACUGUUUAAACCUUUCAUAACACUGGGGAUUAUUCUCCGCAGUGUCUUCACAUUCAAAGUGGAUACCGGUGCCGGCAAAACUGGGAGAAUUAUUGGUGCUUUAAGUUUCACAAGCACAGCACAGAUCUGUCCACGUUUCUGAGAUUCUUAGCUUUCUGAAAUGUCUUUGGACAGCAUAUUCUGGAGCAUGGCCAAGCCUUUGAAACCGAGAAACCCGGUGUCUGUUGUGUAUACCACCAUUAUCUGUAUAGCCUUUCCUUUCGAUCUACCUACAGUAUAGUAAAAACAAGAAUGCAUAACAUAAUAGUUGUCGUAAUACAUAAAACGAAGUAAUGCAGUAAUAAAACAACUACACAUCACCUCAAUAAAGGUAGAUUUAGACAAUUUAAGAAUAAAUAAUAAAGCUUUGAGUGUGCACCUAAAAUGAGUGGGCCAAAGGUCAAACAACCCCUAUUAAAGGAAGACUUAUUUUUUUCUUUCAUUGCAUCACAACAACUGCAGCAGUCUCGACAUGAGAACAAAAUAAUUCGACCUAAUAUUUUGACACCUUUUGAGCAGUAAACCAGAAUAGCACUGUUGUAGUUGUCGUUUAACUUAUUCAAAACUGGGGAGCAUUUACAGGUAUUCAUAGUUCAAUCGAUUUAUAAUAAAAUAUAUUUCAAUUACACUACUUGGAUAUCAAAAGCUCAACUUUUUGACGGGUUAGCCAAUUUUAUAAUAAGGGUAAUACAGAAACAUACCCAGUUGAUCAUAAUAUUAUGGUUAUUAAAUUCUAUAGUUUAAAUUAUUGAGAUUCCAGUGUAAUUAUAAAUUGUAAGUUAAAAUACAUAUCUUAAAAAAUAUUAUUAUUAUUACUGUUAUUAUUAUUAUUAUUGUUAUUAUUAUUAUAUUAGUAUCAAAACAGUUAUUUUGUAUUUCUCUCUAUAUAGUGAGAGCUCAUCUUAUUAACUACAAUUUUCUACCAAUAGCAUAUAUACUGUAGUACGCAGAAACUCCAAAAUCCGAGAUUUGAAUAAAAAUUUGAAAACUCCGAUUUCGGAGGUUUGAAUAAAAGUUUGAAAGCACUGAUUUCGUUAGUACGCAGAACCUCCGAAAUUCAAGGUUUGAAUAAAAGUUUGAAAAAUCGGAUUUUGGAGUUUUCGCGUAUAGUACACAGAAACUCCAGUUGGAGGUUUGAAUAAAAGUUUAAAAACUCUGAUUUUCGAGGUUGCGCGUAUAGUACGCAGAAACUGCAAAAUCGGAGGUUUCAAUAAAAGUUUUAAAACUCCGAUUUUGGAGGUUUCGCAUACCUAUAGUAGGCUUACGCAAAACCUCCAAAAUCGGAGGUUUGAAUUAAAGUAAAACUGGAGUAAAACUCCAGUUGGAGUUUUGAAUAAAAGUUUGAAUCCGAGGUUUGAAUAAAAGUUUGAAAACUCCAAUUUCGGAGGCUUUGCGUAUAGUACGCAAAACCUCCGAAAUCGGAGGGUUGGAUAAAACUUUUGCUCUCUCUAUAUAGAGAGCUUGUUUAAUUAAUAGUACAAACUCUGAAAUUGGAGGUAGAUUUCAGUAUUAAUAUCAGCAUUUAGGCAUGCUGAUUUUACAUCCAUUUGGUGUACAGUGAGGUUUGCUGUGCAGCAACUUGCAUCUAAUUGAGGACAUGUUGGCUGUAAGUGAGAAUGUGUCAUGGUAAUCAAUACCUUCUACUUGACUAAAUCGCUUAGUGAUAUAUCUUGCUUUGUAUGUCUGGGUACCUUCAGCAGGGGCGUAGGCUGGGGGGAGGGGUGCACUGUACUGCAACAAAAAAUUUGCAGGGCAGCAAGUAGAACUUUAUUAGGCCAACAAAAAUACACAUAUAAGCCUAUGAUUUGCCUAGUCGUAAAACAAAAUAGAAACUCAUUUUUUAUCCCAAAUGUGAAUAAACACUACAAUAAUACGAAAAAUA